AACGCACAUUGCGCCCUUUGGCAUUCCGAGGGGCAUGCCCGUUCGAGCGUCAUUUCACCAAUCAAGCCUCGCUUGGUAUUGGGCGAGGAGCCGACCGCUCCCGCCUCCACGUCCCCGGCUGGACGGUUCGAUUCUCAGCGUUGUGAUCUUUUCAACUCGCUGCGGGAGACGACCGCCCGCGCCGUUAAACACGCGCAAGCGCACACCAGGUUGACCUCGGAUCGGGUAGGGAUACCCGCUGAACUUAA
RNAcentral lists this unclassified non-coding RNA (248 nucleotides) under uncultured fungus. RNAcentral describes it as "partial contains 5.8S ribosomal RNA, internal transcribed spacer 2, and large subunit ribosomal RNA". Lineage: Eukaryota; Fungi. The record is from RNAcentral.